Molecule: ribosomal RNA, 350 nt
Filed under: marine sediment bacterium BB0608_AND_5.2_2S10
Lineage: Bacteria
Description: partial 16S ribosomal RNA
Rfam family: Bacterial small subunit ribosomal RNA
Source: RNAcentral
GGGUGAGUAAUACAUCGGAACGUGCCCCCUAAUGGGGGAUAGCUCUGGGAAAGCCGGAUUAAUACCGCAUACGCCCUGAGGGGGAAAGAGUGGGACCGCAAGGCCUCACGUUAUUGGAGCGGCCGAUGGGUGAUUAUCUCGUUGGGAGGGGAAAGGCCUCCCCAGGCGACAAUAACUAUCUGGUCUGAGAGGAGAAUCUGCCACACUGGGACUGAGACACGGCCCCCACUCCUACGGGAGGCGGCAGUGGGGAAUUUUGGACAAUGGGGGAAACCCUGAUCCACCAAUGCCCCGUGUGCGAAAAAAGCCUUCUGGUUGUAAAGCACUUUUUUCUGGGAAAAAAUCCUUUG